UAUAAGAACUUCCUUCCAUAAGAACCCCCUGGGCUGCUGGCCGCUCACCCUCCCCCCAGGUCAGCUCCUUACCUGUACACAGGGAGGAAAAGGCCUUCUAGCAAUAAGAAGCACAGUUUCACAUCAAACAUGUAAAAAUGAUCAAAAUCUCAUGGAAGAAAGGUAUCAAUUUUAAUCACUGAAAUGUUAACUUUUGAUAAAUAUGUAAGUUUAUAAGGAAAAAUAAAACCAUGCUACAGUUA
Molecule: non-coding RNA, 242 nt
Organism: Macaca mulatta (Rhesus monkey)
Lineage: Eukaryota; Metazoa; Chordata; Mammalia; Primates; Cercopithecidae
Source: RefSeq, a predicted model, not a curated record